AUACGGAGGAUGCGAGCGUUAUCCGGAUUUAUUGGGUUUAAAGGGAGCGUAGAUGGAUGUUUAAGUCAGUUGUGAAAGUUUGCGGCUCAACCGUAAAAUUGCAGUUGAUACUGGAUAUCUUGAGUGCAGUUGAGGCAGGCGGAAUUCGGGGGGUAGCGGUGAAAUGCUUAGAUAUCACGAAGAACUCCGAUUGCGAAGGCAGCCUGCUAAGCUGCAACUGACAUUGAGGCUCGAAAGUGUGGGUAUCAAACAGGAUUAGAUACCCUGGUAGUCCACACGGUAAACGAUGAAUACUCGCUGUUUGCGAUAUACGGCAAGCGGCCAAGCGAAAGCGUUAAGUAUUCCACCUGGGGAGUACGCCGGCAACGGUGAAACUCAAAUGAAUUGACGGGG
Molecule: ribosomal RNA, 393 nt
Filed under: uncultured bacterium
Lineage: Bacteria
Description: partial 16S ribosomal RNA
Rfam family: Bacterial small subunit ribosomal RNA
Source: RNAcentral